RNAcentral lists this ribosomal RNA (79 nucleotides) under Nannospalax galili (Upper Galilee mountains blind mole rat). The record is from RNAcentral. Lineage: Eukaryota; Metazoa; Chordata; Mammalia; Rodentia; Spalacidae.
AUCUACUGUCAUACCAUCCUGAACAGGCCUGACCUCUCUGAUCUUGGAAGCUAAGUUAGGUCGGGCUGCUUAGUAGUUA